CAACAACGAUUUUUGGGUCGUU
This 22-nucleotide microRNA is filed under the name Arabidopsis lyrata. RNAcentral describes it as "aly-miR3436-3p". The record is from miRBase by way of RNAcentral. Lineage: Eukaryota; Viridiplantae; Streptophyta; Magnoliopsida; Brassicales; Brassicaceae.